UAGGGAAUCUUCGGCAAUGGACGAAAGUCUGACCGAGCAACGCCGCGUGAGUGAAGAAGGUUUUCGGAUCGUAAAACUCUGUUGUUAGAGAAGAACAAGGACGUUAGUAACUGAACGUCCCCUGACGGUAUCUAACCAGAAAGCCACGGCUAACUACGUGCCAGCAGCCGCGGUAAUACGUAGGUGGCAAGCGUUGUCCGGAUUUAUUGGGCGUAAAGCGAGCGCAGGCGGUUUCUUAAGUCUGAUGUGAAAGCCCCCGGCUCAACCGGGGAGGGUCAUUGGAAACUGGGAGACUUGAGUGCAGAAGAGGAGAGUGGAAUUCCAUGUGUAGCGGUGAAAUGCGUAGAUAUAUGGAGGAACACCAGUGGCGAAGGCGGCUAUCUGGUCUGUAACUGACACUGAGGCUCGAAAGCGUGGGGAGCAAACAGG
RNAcentral lists this ribosomal RNA (429 nucleotides) under Gemmatimonadota bacterium. Its description in RNAcentral is "Gemmatimonadetes bacterium partial 16S ribosomal RNA". It matches the Rfam family "Bacterial small subunit ribosomal RNA", at positions 355 to 776 of the family's 1533-position model. The record is from RNAcentral. Lineage: Bacteria; Pseudomonadati; Gemmatimonadota.